AUACGGAGGGUCCAAGCGUUAUCCGGAAUCAUUGGGUUUAAAGGGUCCGCAGGCGGUCAAUUAAGUCAGAGGUGAAAGCCCAUCGCUCAACGAUGGAACUGCCUUUGAUACCGGUUGACUUGAGUUAUACGGAAGUAGAUAGAAUAAGUUGUGUAGCGGUGAAAUGCAUAGAUAUUACUUAGAAUACCGAUUGCGAAGGCAGUCUACUACGUAUAUACUGACGCUGAGGGACGAAAGCGUGGGGAGUGAACAGGAUUAGAAACCCUAGUAGUCC
Molecule: ribosomal RNA, 274 nt
Filed under: uncultured bacterium
Lineage: Bacteria
Description: partial 16S ribosomal RNA
Rfam family: Bacterial small subunit ribosomal RNA
Source: RNAcentral